AAAUGAGGGAGAUUUAGGCUGCACUUAAAAUGAGUCUAGGCAGGGACAGCCAAGUCACCUUCCAGGGAAGAGUCUCCCCCGGGAGUGAGACCCGGUGCCUUCUGUUGUGUGGUCGGCUGUGCAGCAUCGUGAUGAGAAGGCACAGGGGCUGCGGAACUGUCUAAAGAGGGGACUCCCAGCUUCAAGGACUGUUUUAUGUGACAGCCCUGCCAGGGAGGCCUGGGGACAUCAUCACAGCCCCCACCCUCAGACAACACCCAUGAGUCAGCAGAGCCUGUUGGCCUGACUCCUGAGUGCCGUGCAGCCCCUGGUAGAAGUCACUGACACGGCUGAGUAACGGUUCCUCGGCCCUCGGCUGGCUCUGCCAUUUCACGGCAAGGGACGGUUGAUGAUGAAGCGCCGGCCGUGUAAAUGAAGAUCGGGUGAGGAGCAGGACGAUGCCCAAGGGUGGGUGCCCUAAAGCACCACAGCAGGAAGAGCUUCCCCUCAGCAGCGACAUGGUGGAGAAGCAGACUGGGAAAAAGGAUAAAGAUAAAGUUUCUCUAACCAAGACCCCAAAACUGGAGCGUGGCGAUGGCGGGAAGGAGGUGAGGGAGCGAGCCAGCAAGCGGAAGCUGCCCUUCACCGCGGGCGCCAAUGGGGAGCAGAAGGACUCGGACACAGGACCGCCGGGGUCCUGCUUGUCCUGGGGCAGCCACGAGGGAGCCCUCGUCAGGAGCGCCAUGGGCCGAAGCUGCCUGCCCUCUGCACGUGGAUGUUUCUUUGGAACAAGGGGAAAAAUUAUGAUUUUCUUAUUUUGCUUUGACCUGUGAAUGACACCCUGGUCUCUGGUGCCUGGGGUGUGCUCUCUGCAGUGCUGCCAGGCACAUGCUGGUUCCUUCAGCGUUAGGUGCUUGGCACCUUCAGUCUUUUCCUGACGUCAUGUUUGUUCCUGGUGCCUCAGAUAGGAGACGGCUGUUCUGACGGCUCCUGCUUCCCCAUUCCUGGAGGGAAGACAGACUUAGCCACUGGUAUCUGUGGGACUUCUUGGAACUCUGAAUGCCAGACCUUGCCCAGUGCUAGAGGCGACAAGUGUGUGAAGUUGAAGAGGCUUCUCCCACCCGCUCAGCUGCAGUGGACCCGAGCGGGCAGAGAGAGCAGAGUGCAGCAGGGGCCAGGCUGUGCUCGCAGGCGGGGCAGGUGCCUGGAGAGCAUGGCGCCCCUGGGAGCCUCUGGCCAGGAAGGGCAUGUGCACUGCAGUGUGCCGUGGACCAGUGGCCUCAGCUCAGUGUGUUGACGAGGGUCCCAAGGCACUCACGUGUGUGGGGAUGUUAGCAACACACGGCGGGAAGCCCUGAUGCAGUUUCUCACCAAGCGUGUAGCAGACCCCACGCACCCCACACAGGUCAGGCACCCCACACAGGGCACAGACCCCACACACCCCACACAGGGCAGGCACCCCACACAGGGCACAGACCCCACGCACCCCACACAGGGCAGGCACCCCACACAGGGCACAGACCGCACGCACCCCACACAGGGCAGGCACCCCACACAGGGCACAGACCCCACGCACCCCACACAGGGCAGGCACCUCACACAGGGCACAGACCCCACGCAUCCCACACAGGGCAGGCACCCCACACAGGGCACAGACCCCACACACCCCACACAGGGCAGGCACCUCACACAGGGCACAGACCCCAUGCACCACACACAGGGCAGGCACCCCACACAGGGCACAGACCCCACGCACCCCACACAGGGUACAGACCCCACACACCCCACACAGGGCAGGCACCCCACACAGGGCACAGACCCCACGCAGCCCACACAGGGCAGGUACCCCACACAGGGCACAGACCCCACGCACCCCACACAGGGCAGGCACCCCACACAAGGCACAGACCCCACGCAUCCCACACAGGGCAGGCACCCCACACAGGGCAGGCAUCCCACACAGGGCACAGACCCCACGCACCCCACACAGGGCAGGCACCUCACACAGGGCACAGACCCCAUGCAUCCCACACAGGGCAGGCACCCCACACAGGGCACAGACCCCACGCACCCCACACGGGGCAGGCAGCUCACACAGGGCACAGACCCCAAGCACCCCACACAGGGCACAGACCCCACGCACCCCACACAGGGCACAGACCCCACACACCCCACACAGGGCAGGCACCUCACACAGGGCACAGACCCCAUGCAUCCCACACAGGGCAGGCACCCCACACAGGGCACAGACCCCACACACCCCACACAGGGCAGGCACCCCACACAGGGCACAGACCCCACGCACCCCACACAGGGCAGGGAUCCCACGCAGGGCACAGAUCCCACGCAGGGCAGGGCCAGCCCAAGGCCAGGCCCCUCCCCUGUAGAUCUCCUCCCAGGCAGGACCAGAGCCACAGUCACUUCCACACUAUCUCCUUCCCUAGAAACCUCUGCAGACUCUUCCUCCUCUCCUCGAUACACAGGGGCCCCUGCCACAGCCUGACUCUCUGCCACCUCGUGAGUCUCUGGAAAGCAGGGUCGGCCUCUGAAUACAGAGGACUUGGGUCCUGCCGGAGGAUGCUUGGCCAGUGGGUGCUGGCACGUGAGCAGCCCCCGGGGAGUCAGAGUGGGGCUGCAGCGAAGGCCGUGGUGGUCGAGGUGAGGGUGGUGGCCAGGUCUUGUUGCCGCAGUGAGGAUUCUGGGGUUACCCUAAGAGCCACCACAUUCAGGCACUCAAGAAAAAGCACGUCAAAAUAAAAUAUUUUCACAUG
Molecule: long non-coding RNA, 2750 nt
Filed under: Homo sapiens (human)
Lineage: Eukaryota; Metazoa; Chordata; Mammalia; Primates; Hominidae
Description: non-protein coding lnc-SLC22A31-7:5
Source: RNAcentral